Molecule: small nucleolar RNA, 85 nt
Organism: Gadus morhua (Atlantic cod)
Lineage: Eukaryota; Metazoa; Chordata; Actinopteri; Gadiformes; Gadidae
Product: small nucleolar RNA SNORD60
Source: Ensembl
AGCCACUGAUGAAAACCUUUAAUUGCUGACACCUUGUAUGAUGGCUAGUCAAUAGCACAAUGCUCUGUUUUAAUUUCUGAGGCUU